Molecule: unclassified non-coding RNA, 345 nt
Filed under: soil metagenome
Description: partial contains 5.8S ribosomal RNA, internal transcribed spacer 2, and large subunit ribosomal RNA
Rfam family: 5.8S ribosomal RNA (bases 1-120)
Source: RNAcentral
GAUGAAGAACGUAGCGAAAUGCGAUAAGUAAUGUGAAUUCCAGAAUUCAGUGAAUCAUCGAAUCUUUGAACGCACAUUGCGCCCGCCAGUAUUCUGGCGGGCAUGCCUGUCCGAGCGUCAUUUCAACCCUCAAGCCCCCGGGCUUGGUGUUGGAGAUCGGCGAGCCCCCCGGGGCGCGCCGUCUCCCAAAUAUAGUGGCGGUCCCGCUGUAGCUUCCUCUGCGUAGUAGCACACCUCGCACUGGGAAACAGCGUGGCCACGCCGUAAAACCCCCCACUUCUGAAAGGUUGACCUCGGAUCAGGUAGGAAUACCCGCUGAACUUAAGCAUAUCAAUAAGCGGAGGA